AGUUGAAAAGGAAUUCAAGAUCACUGAGUCCAACCAUAGGUCAAUUAUAUCUUCCUCAAGAAGGACACAUCUUUCAUUAUGAAUAUUCAUUAUGUUUUUUGCCAAAGUGAUUUGGAUAUUCUGAACCAUCCAAGUGAAGAUUUCAUUAAUGGAAGACAGAAGUAUUCUUACAGAGCAUAUUAAAAUUAAUUAACCUUCAAGAGCAGAAAACCAUGAGCAAGGAGAUUCAAAGAAAUCCAGUUAAGAUGACAAAUACUCUUCUAGUACAGACCAAGGAAUAAAUAUUAAAAGCAUACAAAAGUCCA
Molecule: long non-coding RNA, 305 nt
Filed under: Manacus vitellinus (golden-collared manakin)
Lineage: Eukaryota; Metazoa; Chordata; Aves; Passeriformes; Pipridae
Description: lncRNA (ENSMVIG00005011261.1)
Source: RNAcentral